AAGCCCUUCGGGGUGGAUCAGUGGCGAACGGGUGAGUAACACGUGGGUAACCUACCCUGAACUCUGGGAUAACUCCGGGAAACCGGGGCUAAUACCGGAUACGACCUGGGGCGGCAUCGGCCCGGGUGGAAAGUUUUUCGGUUCAGGAUGGACCCGCGGCCUAUCAGCUUGUUGGUGGGGUAAUGGCCUACCAAGGCUUUGACGGGUAGCCGGCCUGAGAGGGCGACCGGCCACACUGGGACUGAGACACGGCCCAG
This 257-nucleotide ribosomal RNA is filed under the name uncultured bacterium. RNAcentral describes it as "partial 16S ribosomal RNA". It matches the Rfam family "Bacterial small subunit ribosomal RNA", at positions 73 to 334 of the family's 1533-position model. The record is from RNAcentral.